Molecule: long non-coding RNA, 314 nt
Organism: Spea bombifrons (plains spadefoot toad)
Lineage: Eukaryota; Metazoa; Chordata; Amphibia; Anura; Pelobatidae
Exons: 2
Source: RefSeq, a predicted model, not a curated record
AAAGGGGGAAAUCCAAUGAGAAAAGAUUCUUUGGGUUUAUAUACACUAAUGUAUGUAGCAGCAGAGAGAAAUGGGGGUUGAUCCUAUAAACUUUGUGUAUCCGUAGAUCUUGAGCUGGUUCUCAAUAGCCGUGCAAAAAAUGUCCUAUUUACGUCCAGCAUUAAUUGUAUUUUUAUUCAUGUGUCCUCCAUUUGGGGCCCAAGGCACUCCAAUGUGCAUUUAAUUAUACAUAUAUUCAAAGACUGGAAUAUCCCUUUUUGAAAGGCCAGCAAUUAAUUUCAGCCUCCUAAACCACUCGCACUUUCAAGGUCCAA